Molecule: ribosomal RNA, 254 nt
Filed under: uncultured bacterium
Lineage: Bacteria
Description: partial 16S ribosomal RNA
Rfam family: Bacterial small subunit ribosomal RNA
Source: RNAcentral
UACGUAGGGUGCAAGCGUUGUCCGGAAUUAUUGGGCGUAAAGAGCUCGUAGGCGGUCUGUCGCGUCGGCUGUGAAAACCCGCGGCUCAACCUCGGGCCUGCAGUCGAUACGGGCAGACUAGAGUGCGGUAGGGGAGACUGGAAUUCCUGGUGUAGCGGUGGAAUGCGUAGAGAGUCCGGAAGAACACCGGUGGCGAAGGCGGUCUGCUGGGCAGUAGCUGACACUGAGGCGCGACAGCGUGGGGAGCAAACAGG